Molecule: ribosomal RNA, 744 nt
Filed under: Agaricus subrufescens
Lineage: Eukaryota; Fungi; Basidiomycota; Agaricomycetes; Agaricales; Agaricaceae
Description: partial large subunit ribosomal RNA
Rfam family: Eukaryotic large subunit ribosomal RNA
Source: RNAcentral
GGACCGUGUAUAAGUCUCCUGGGAUGGGGCGUCAUAGAGGGUGAGAAUCCCGUCUUUGACACGGACUACCAGUGCAUUGUGGUAUGCUCUCAAAGAGUCGAGUUGUUUGGGAAUGCAGCUCAAAAUGGGUGGUAAAUUCCAUCUAAAGCUAAAUAUUGGCGAGAGACCGAUAGCGAACAAGUACCGUGAGGGAAAGAUGAAAAGAACUUUGGAAAGAGAGUUAAACAGUACGUGAAAUUGCUGAAAGGGAAACGCUUGAAGUCAGUCGCGUUGGCCAGGGAUCAGCCUUGCUUUUGCAUGGUGUACUUUCUGGUUGAUGGGUCAGCAUCAAUUUUGACCGCUGGAAAAAGACCUGGGGAAUGUGGCAGCUUCGGCUGUGUUAUAGCCCCUAGUCGCAUACAGUGGUUGGGAUUGAGGAACUCAGCACGCCGCAAGGCCGGGUUUCGACCACGUUCGUGCUUAGGAUGCUGGCAUAAUGGCUUUAAGCGACCCGUCUUGAAACACGGACCAAGGAGUCUAACAUGCCUGCGAGUAUUUGGGUGGAAAACCCAAGUGCGUAAUGAAAGUGAAAGUUGAGAUCCCUGUCGUGGGGAGCAUCGACGCCCGGACCAGAACUUUUGGGACGGAUCCGCGGUGGAGCAUGUAUGUUGGGACCCGAAAGAUGGUGAACUAUGCCUGAAUAGGGUGAAGCCAGAGGAAACUCUGGUGGAGGCUCGUAGCGAUUCUGACGUGCAAAUCGAUCGU